CAAAACUUUCAACAACGGAUCUCUUGGCUCUGGCAUCGAUGAAGAACGCAGCGAAAUGCGAUACGUAAUGCGAAUUGCAGAAUUCAGCGAGUCAUCGAAUCUUUGAACGCACAUUGCGCCCGCCAGCAUUCUGGCGGGCAUGCCUGUCCGAGCGUCAUUUCCCCCCU
This 167-nucleotide ribosomal RNA is filed under the name Ophiostoma ips. RNAcentral describes it as "5.8S ribosomal RNA". It matches the Rfam family "5.8S ribosomal RNA". Rfam says of the family: 5.8S ribosomal RNA (5.8S rRNA) is a component of the large subunit of the eukaryotic ribosome. It is transcribed by RNA polymerase I as part of the 45S precursor that also contains 18S and 28S rRNA. Functionally, it is thought that 5.8S rRNA may be involved in ribosome translocation. RNAcentral also lists the same sequence under 10 other names. Lineage: Eukaryota; Fungi; Ascomycota; Sordariomycetes; Ophiostomatales; Ophiostomataceae. The record is from RNAcentral.